GGGAGAUGACGUUGGAGGAACGAGAAUUGAUCAUUCUUUUUCUAUACAUCAUGGGCGUCGAGAACUGCUAAUCCUAAGAGUCAUGGAAGUAAGAAAUAACAUGUCUUACAUGUGACUUCUAUAUAAUCAAAUAAGAGCCAGAAAUUAAACAGAAGAGAAGUGUGUUUGUUUAUCGAGAAGCGGUACGAAUACAAGUGGGAAUGAAAAGGCUAUGACGUAAGAAAAGGAAAGACCAGAGAGAACAAAGCAGUCUUGAAUGGAUCAAUGAAAAGAAAUGUCAGAGAAAAAAGUAUUAAGUACGAUACUGACAGAAAGUAACGAUUGAGUAAAGAGUAUAAAGUUGAGUUUGGAGAAGACCAGAGAAAGAGUAUGAUAUUUAGUAGACCAGAUAUAGAACAAAGGAUUAAGUCAAAUUCAUUUUUCUAAAUUCCAGAAAUGCAUCUCAAGGUAAUUGAAGCCACGGAAUUGGUAUUCAAAGGUACUAAUGGAGAGAGUAAUACGUUUUGUGUUUUUAUCGCGAAUCAGCUCCUAUUAGGAAAUAAAACACAGCUGUACAAAAUCCAUGGGAAAAAAAUUUUCAGUUAUGAGUUGCUUCUUCGAUGAUUUAUAAUUACUUCUCUUUAUGCGAUUAUUGUGUCUGGAUGUGUGUAAUACUCCAUACUCUAAGAUUAUAUACUACUAUAUCAACAACUUUGAGCACAUAGCAAGUAAUACUAAAUCGGACGAAGAUGCAAUCAGAUAUCAAAUUAAGGUAAUUCAGUUAAUUGGAGCAGAUUUACGAAAAUCUAUAGAUUGUUACAACAAGGUGUUCAUGAAGAAAGUUAUAUAAAAACUAUAUUAUUAUUAUCGGAAUUUAUUUUAUAUUCGUUUAUGUAAAAAUAUCAUUUCUCGGAAAAGUAAUUUCCCGUAGACAAGAACGUUGUACAUUAUGUAUGAAAAAAAGCAAAAAAUAAUUUACAUGUGCAUGUAUGCUGUGAAAGAUGUGUUUACUGAGGUUGAAACGCAUAGAAGUCGAUAGUAAUAAUGAUUCUGAGUUGACGCUUGUUCAAAUUCCAUCUCACAUUUCAACGAUA
Vespa crabro (European hornet) is the source of this 1073-nucleotide long non-coding RNA. RefSeq lists it as uncharacterized. The transcript has 4 exons. NCBI's taxonomy places the organism in Eukaryota, Metazoa, Arthropoda, Insecta, Hymenoptera, Vespidae. The record is from RefSeq and is a predicted model, not a curated record.